RNAcentral lists this small RNA (439 nucleotides) under Pongo abelii (Sumatran orangutan). RNAcentral describes it as "retained intron". The record is from RNAcentral. Lineage: Eukaryota; Metazoa; Chordata; Mammalia; Primates; Hominidae.
CUCCCCAGAGCCCAGGCCUCCUGCCUCCAGUCCCCAGCCCACAACCCAGGAUUAGGCAGAGCCAGCUGCUUUCCCGUGGCUGCCCUGACUCCUUACAGGGAUCACUGAGAUUCUGAUGAACAGACCUUCUGCCCGCAAUGCCUUGGGGAAUGUCUUCGUCAGUGAGGUAAGAAAGGGCGGGCGCCAGGGUGGGCUGGGGAUGGGCUGGCACUAUCUAACUGGGUGUCCUCUGUAGCUGCUGGAAACUCUGGCCCAGCUGCGGGAGGACCAGCAAGUGCGUGUCUUGCUCUUCAGAAGUGGAGUGAAGGGCGUGUUCUGUGCAGGUGCAGACCUGAAGGAGCGGGAACAGAUGAGUGAAGCAGAGGUGGGGGUUUUUGUCCAGCGACUCCGGGGCCUGAUGAAUGACAUCGGUGAGGAUCUGGUUGUGGGGUGGAGGAGG